This 429-nucleotide ribosomal RNA is filed under the name uncultured bacterium. RNAcentral describes it as "bacterial SSU rRNA". It matches the Rfam family "Bacterial small subunit ribosomal RNA", at positions 355 to 775 of the family's 1533-position model. The record is from RNAcentral.
UGGGGAAUCUUGCGCAAUGGGCGAAAGCCUGACGCAGCCACGCCGCGUGAGUGAAGAAGGCCUUCGGGUUGUAAAGCUCUGUCGUGCGGGACGAAAACUCUUGGGGUUAACAGCCCCAGGAAUUGACGGUACCGCAAAAGGAAGCACCGGCUAACUUCGUGCCAGCAGCCGCGGUAAUACGAGGGGUGCGAGCGUUGCUCGGAAUUAUUGGGCGUAAAGGGUAGGUAGGUGGUUUCAUUUGUCUGGGGUGAAAGCCUUGGGCUUAACUCAAGAAGUGCCCCGGAAACGGUGAAACUCGAGUACUGGAGAGGGUCGUGGAAUUCCCGGUGUAGCGGUGAAAUGCGUAGAGAUCGGGAGGAACACCAGAGGCGAAGGCGGCGACCUGGACAGUUACUGACACUCAACUACGAAAGCGUGGGGAGCAAACAG